This 156-nucleotide ribosomal RNA is filed under the name Trichosporon sp. YPY-2013. Its description in RNAcentral is "5.8S ribosomal RNA". It matches the Rfam family "5.8S ribosomal RNA". Rfam says of the family: 5.8S ribosomal RNA (5.8S rRNA) is a component of the large subunit of the eukaryotic ribosome. It is transcribed by RNA polymerase I as part of the 45S precursor that also contains 18S and 28S rRNA. Functionally, it is thought that 5.8S rRNA may be involved in ribosome translocation. Lineage: Eukaryota; Fungi; Basidiomycota; Tremellomycetes; Trichosporonales; Trichosporonaceae. The record is from RNAcentral.
UAAAACUUUCAACAACGGAUCUCUUGGCUCUCGCAUCGAUGAAGAACGCAGCGAAUUGCGAUAAGUAAUGUGAAUUGCAGAAUUCAGUGAAUCAUCGAAUCUUUGAACGCACCUUGCGCUCUCUGGUAUUCCGGAGAGCAUGCCUGUUUCAGUGUC